CAAGACGAUUGACAGUGCGCCUGGGAAUGACGACGACCUGAGCGGGUCGGAGUGGAAUGUUUGCUGCAGGUCAUCAGUGGCGCUUUCUGCUCUUUUGUGCACAGUCUGCAGAGGAGACAGAGCUGAUCCCAAGGAAGCUGAAUGGAAAGGCCACUCCAAAAGAUCUCCUCCUAAUCCCCGACGCUUCUCAAGUCCACUCGAGGAUGCUAAAAAGUCAGACCACGCCUCGCAGAUGCCCGAAAUAAGGUCAAGCGGUCGGCUUUGCGUGGCUUGGCGUUUAAAACGAUUAGCGACGUCGGCCAUCUUUGAUACUCACGUGAACCUGCGUCAUGUUAUGAGCAUGGGUACAGUAAAAUAUGAAAUGUAUAAGGGGAUAUUUAACAUUGUAAAUUGAUAUUUCCCGAGAUUUGCGUUUGCAAAAACAGGCUCAGUUGAUCUCUGCUGAUUAAUUUUUUUCCUGCAUGUAUGUAAAAAAAAACAGAGCAGCCUUACCUUAAUCACCAAAUCUGAAAUCUGAAACAGCCUCCUAAAAAAAAAAA
This is a long non-coding RNA of Syngnathus acus (greater pipefish), 539 nucleotides long. RefSeq lists it as uncharacterized. The record is from RefSeq and is a predicted model, not a curated record. NCBI's taxonomy places the organism in Eukaryota, Metazoa, Chordata, Actinopteri, Syngnathiformes, Syngnathidae. The transcript has 2 exons.